Fusarium ambrosium is the source of this 83-nucleotide non-coding RNA. The record is from the annotation of a GenBank genome assembly. Lineage: Eukaryota; Fungi; Ascomycota; Sordariomycetes; Hypocreales; Nectriaceae.
GCGUAAUUGGUUUAGUGGUAAAAUUCUCCGUUGCCAUCAUAGCAAUGCUCGGGGAGCCCUGGGUUCGAUUCCCAGAUUACGCA